GUGCUCAUGUUAGCAGCACAUACACUAAAAUUGGAUGGAUACAGAAAUUAGCAUGACCACUUCUCAAGGAUGACACCUAACUUCGUAAAUUCAUGAAAUGUUCC
This is a small nuclear RNA of Nannospalax galili (Upper Galilee mountains blind mole rat), 104 nucleotides long. Lineage: Eukaryota; Metazoa; Chordata; Mammalia; Rodentia; Spalacidae. The record is from Ensembl.